AUGGAAGUGAUUAUUUCCCCAGAUGAUCAACUCUGAAAUUACUGAGCUCUUUUUGUUGUUCUCAAGCCAGCACUCUAUUCCAAGCCAGCACUCUAUUUCAU
Small nucleolar RNA from Cornus florida, 101 nucleotides. RefSeq annotates it as small nucleolar RNA Z103. The transcript has a single exon. Lineage: Eukaryota; Viridiplantae; Streptophyta; Magnoliopsida; Cornales; Cornaceae. The record is from RefSeq and is a predicted model, not a curated record.